This 747-nucleotide long non-coding RNA is filed under the name Danio rerio (zebrafish). RNAcentral's name for it is "si:ch211-229g11.5 (ENSDARG00000097266.3)". Lineage: Eukaryota; Metazoa; Chordata; Actinopteri; Cypriniformes; Danionidae. The record is from RNAcentral.
CGUCUGUAAACGGGGUCGAAACUGCUGUAUGAAUAAACUUCGGCCCACGUGACAUCCCUUCACGUCUAUGCUCGCUAUCCCAAGGUUCAUUGCGAUCCCAAGGUUCACUGCGGUUUUCCACAAGCCUGUUUCUGCCUAUCACCAUGAGUGAUUCCUCAAUACUCAGAUUUAUCAUCAAGAUCUCAAUUAUAAGCUCAAGUUUUGAUGACAACUUGGUGAUCUGCAGAAAGCACCACCAUGUAAGGAAGGCCAAGACCACUCUGGAAUCAGUCAAGGCUCAUAGGAACUCCAAUCUUCCCAACUGUGAGAGGGCCUUGCUCCAGUGACUGAUUGCAGUGACCAGACAUGCUACUGUAACUCUCAUGGUCAUGUGCUGGAAUUAGCAGAUAUUCAACAAUUUGGCCAUCUCGCUGACCUGUUGAUAUCAGAAGACCGCAGCAGCUCUGCAAAGCAAGUUGCAAAACAGAAUCCAUGAAACUGGCAGUGACUGGAAACCAAUUGGAAGACUUUGGUCUGUGAUGUAGAGGAGUGGGCAGAGGGUGAGGAAAUUCUUAUUAAUAUUACAUGUAGUCAUGAAAAAUUGUGUUACUAUUACUGUCUUUUUUUUUUUAGUAGCAGAAGCAAAGACAACAAAAAGAAGAAGUGAUAUGGAUGUCUUCGUCAUAUGGCAUGACUCUGCUGACCCAGCAACAAAGAGGAGGGUGUUCAACAUCAUCCUGCUAGUCAGGAUUCUUCAGGAGAAGCAGU